This is a long non-coding RNA of Cyprinus carpio carpio, 4880 nucleotides long. The record is from Ensembl. Lineage: Eukaryota; Metazoa; Chordata; Actinopteri; Cypriniformes; Cyprinidae.
AUGACCGCAUCUGCAUCGAAGCUCUCAGAGUUGAUAGUUUGUAUCGGCGUCCUUUUUGUGCAAUACAGUACAGAAUACAUCCUGUAUCCAACUAAUGCAGAGUAUAUUCAAGUUGCCAACACACUGGUUGUGAAGAACCCUUUCCAGAGAAAUAUAAAAGGAAAUGACUGUGUAAGUGACAUUGUUUUUAAUCCAUUUGUUUAUCUCUAUCAACAUUAUCACACACAAUAUUGUAGUAACAAUAUAUUGUAAUCUUUAUUUGCUGGAAAAUGAAAAUCAGUCAAAUUUGUGUUUUUAGCACACCUGACACAUCCCUAAACCGGAAAUUUAAAGCAGAACGUGCACCACUCGCAGGUUAUUGUAGCAUAUGUAAGCACACUGCCAUAUGCAUAAUUUAUUUUUGCACUUCAAUGUAAGGAAGAUACUGUACUACAGAUAUUUAAAUCUUUUUUUUGUAUCUACUCCACUUUUUCACUGCCUGACCAUCAUCUUAAUGUUUAUGAAGUUCAAUGUUUUUAUUACUUUUUAUAUCUAAAGUACCUUGUUCAAUAAGUAUUUAGAUGUUUCGCAUAUCUGUCAGGGUCUAAGCAUGAUCUGUUUCUGUUGUUCUGAUGAAGGAAACUUGUGUUGGGGAGGAUUCAGUGUCUUUUGAGAACCAUGUGAAUGUGCUACAAAGUGAGUAUCAGAAAACACCUCCAGACACCUGGACUGUCAAAGACCACACGGCAGGAACAUUCUCCUGGAGACGCUGAGAAAUCACGGAAGGAAUGUCUGUGGAGGAUGUACUCAAAAAACACCCAUACUUAAGGACACCUGCCGGAGUGAGUAUAGUAAAAUAAAUAAUCAACUGUAAAAUAUCUUGUUUCAAAUCUUUUCAUGUAAUAUUUUAUUAUUCUGUACCCUGUUAAAAAUUUAAAACAAUGUAAGAUUUAACAGUGUAUACAAGAACAUGAAAUGCAUCGUAUAUUGUGACCCUUAUACAUUAGCCUUCUAAUAGUUUUUGCAGUUCUGCACUGUAUGUAGCUACACUGUCUGAGCCAAAGAGGAUGGAACAGAAUCUGAUGAAUUUGAAAAGUGUCUUCUUUUUUUUUAAAUUAUUAUUAUUUUUUAUUAAAUUUUAUUUUUUAUUUUGUGAAGGGGGACCCUGCUACACCCUUUCAUACCAUACAGCUGAUGGAUACUGACUGAAAAAUGGCAAUCAUAGGAGGAGGGUUCAGUGUGAUGACAGAAGCUGGAAUAGACAUGUGCCAGUGCACCAGCCUUGAUGAAGCCUUCAUAACAGCCUUCUGGAUGUAUUCUGCUUUCAACAUUGCAUAUCCAACACACCUGAGAAAAACACUGACUUUCCUUCAGAGGCACAUUGUCAACAUUGUGGAAGAUGGAGACAAGCACUGCCAGUAACUUUCCUCUGAGUGAUCAGCCUUUUGUAUUAGAUCCUCAUGCCUCAACUGUACCAUUACACAAAGUGCACUCGAAGGACAUUCACUCUUUUGAAGUUAAUCCAACAUGUUGGAGUUGCACAUGCACAUGAACCAAAUUUUAGUAUAACCUGUGGUAUAGAUGAGUGCCAAUCAACUUUUUUGUGAUUCCAUUCUUUUAGAAAACAUGCACAGGAAUCAUAUGUACAUUUGGUAACAGAAAUGACUGUCUCAGUGAAGAGUCUGCAGUACAAUUAUAUUAUAAUAUAAUGGAGAAGGGUCUGGCUGCAGACUUGCACUUGCACUCUCAGACACUUUGCGCUUCUGCUAGUCACAACACUUGCAGUCUUUUUUAUUUUGUAUUUGGUUAUACUUAUUGGUUACUUUUUGUUUGAAUCUCUCAACAUUUGUGUUUUCUCUUGUGUAGGUAUCAUUGACUGGAAGUCUGUCAGUCCAGAUGUGAGGAAGACCUACAGAGUGAGUUUGAGCUCAGCAGGUGUGAUGGCUGUGGAUACAUCUACAGAAACACCACUGGAUACUGUAGCCAUGGAAAGAAGUGGGUCUUCAUAGCUUUCUAUUCAGACAAAGAGUUUGCUGGAUUCUGUUCUAUGGACUGCUACUACAGAAUGAAUGAAUGAAUGAGUGGUUUAUCUGUCUGUCUAUCUAUCUAUCUAUCUAUCUAUCUAUCUAUCUAUAUAUUUUAUUUUUUUUACUUGAAUUGGCGACUGAAACUGGAAGCUAAAUAAAUGUUUUAGUGGAUAAAGCUGUGUCUGUUUGCUUAUGCAACUUAACAUAAGGUUACUAAACUCUUCUGACUAAUUUUUACAUUUUAUAAUUUAGUGGUUUUGUCAACUAUAUAUUUUUCUCUAUCAGGCAAAACAUUUUUCGAGGGUAACACUUUACAAUUAGUUUCAUUUGUUGACACUGAUGUAUUAACUAACAUUAACUAUUAUUUAUUAAACGUUGUAAGUUAAUAAAAAUACAGCUGUUCGUUGUUUAUUCUUGUUAGUUCACUUCACAGUGCAUUAACUAAUGUUAACAAAUACAACUUUUGACUUUAAUUUAAGAACAGCUAGUGCGACUAACCGUGUUAAGAGACGUUUGUAUUCUCGAAAAAUAAUUGUAAUUUAAAUCAAGACCUAAAUUUGCGGUGGUGAUGACGUCAGUAACCCGCACCAUGCAAGUUUUGAAGGUACUUUCAAAAGUAAUUUAAAAUAAUAUUCUUAAUAUCAUUAACGCCGUUUUUACCUUGGAAGAAUUAAAUUUGGUUUUAUAGGAUUAUGUUGAAUUUAUGGUUUCCUUUUAAUCUGCGAUUAAGAGUAUAUGGCUCGCCAUCUUUUUUUUUUUUUUUUUUUUUACAGCCAUCUUUCGCAUUACCUUUUGGCACGCCCCCUACCUUUCGUUUCACCAAUGAGAAACCUUUUGGCACGCCCCACACCUUUCGGCACGCCCCCACCUUUUGGCACGCCCAUUGCUCCAGGCUGCAGUUACCCCUACUUGUAUUUAGUGGCAGAAACAAGCUUCCAUAAACAGCCCACAAGGUGGGAGUAUUGUAUUGUAUUAUAGCAAGAGAUCCAUGAUGAUGAUAUUCUGCUGUGUUCAGUGACGAGCGCCAAAGUAUUCUUUUAGGCAGCGGCUAUUUGCACUAGGUGUAAAUAGCAUAAUUUGUUAGCGAUAGAUGGAUAGAUUUACACUACGUGCAAAUAGCAGUAUUUUUUUAACGAUGUUAAACAUUUACAAAAACACUAUAAACAUUUAAAACACUAUAGAUUAUAUUUACAAUAUGUUAAAAUAGCAAGAUUUUCUGCUAUUUUUACUACUUAUUUCAAAUAGUGGCAAUUAUCUGCACAUCAGUAGUGCAUUAUAAAACAGUACGCAAUAAUAACGUAGUGAUUGUAAAUUAUCAUUUUAAUUAAAAAUUUUAAAUGGAUGCCACCUUACUGGGACAAAAAAGCCCUCACUACACCUACCCUAACCCUACCCAAUAUUUAUUUUCAUCUUUUUAAUUAUUUCCUUGAUUUUUAUUGAAAAUAAAUGCCUUUACGAUACGAUAUGAGAUUUGAAAAAGGAGAAAAAAAUGUUUGGCAAAAGGCGGAUGCGAACUCGGGUCGAUUGCAUCAAAAUGCACACACUUUAACCACUAAUCCACUACAAUUUACGCUGAGUUAGCGUCGUUUAUCAAUAUUAACUAUCCCAAUCACGUGUUGGUGGGCGAUAGUAUAAGUAGUCUCUGAAACAACGCAGGCUUACACUUAGUGUAAAUAGACACUGAUUCUUUUAACAUUAUAUCAAAUGUUGCUACGGCUGACAUGAGGCUUAUGCAUGUGUUCGUUUGUAAAUAAAGCCUAACAAAAUUUAAUCCACAGCACACACGUCUCAUCAUUACGAUAUAAAACCAGAUAAAAGCCUAUUUAAGUCUCUCUGUAUAGCCUACCACUUUUACACAUGCUUCAGCUACAUUUUUAUUUCCAUACUUUUGAAUUACUUCUGUAUAAAACAGUUUUAAAUCACCCAAAGACGCAGGACCUUUAUUAUACAACUCUUAGACAAAAUUGCGGAUGACAACCGUUUCCAAGCCAGGAUUGGUUAAAUAAAAUGUUUAAGGUGGGGCUCAACAAAGGUGUAUUUGCAUGCACAUUGUAGAUAUCUACAAACAUAUUUUGACUAGUCAAAUUGUUAAUUUCCAGAUAUCUACAUUGCAAUUACGCCUAGUCACAAAGCUAAAUGCAGAUAUCUCUAAAUAUAGUUCUUCCUAGUCAAAAAUCUGAUUGGGAUAUCCAUAAUUAAAUUGCAGAUAUCUUUAAAGGGGUUUUAAAGUCAUAAUUCCAAUUCAAGAUAUCUUUAAAUAUAAUUUGCCUAGUUAAAAUUCCAAUUAAACAUAUCUACAACUGUAAUUUGACUAGUCAUAAAUGAAUUGCAGAUAUCUACAAAUGUAUUUUGAAUAUCUUUAAAAAUUUGGAAUUAAAGAUAUCUUUAAUUGUAUUUUGACUAGUCAAAUCAUAUUUAAAGAUAUAUUGAAUUGGGAUUACGACUAGUCAAAACUCAUUUGAAGAUAUCUCUAAUUGAAUUGUCACUAGUCAAAUUGUAAUUUGAGAUAUCUCGAAAUUAUAUUUAUGGAGAGUCAAAACAAAGUUUUAAAUGUUAAAAUGGCUUGCCAUACUACUCUUGCCUACUUGUUUGCACAACAAACACUACAGCCAAAUUAAACACUAAAAGAAACUACAGCUUUCAUCUGUAAAAGAGAAAAGCAAUAUACAAAUAUACCUUUUUAAAUCUUAGGGACAGCGCUUUUGCAAGUUUCCUUAUUGUGCGCUAAUUCCAUGCCAUGGCCUGGAUUGUAAUCAUGUCUGUUCUGGCUAAAAAAAUGUAAAAAAUAAUCAUAAAUAAUUAAUAGCUCUCCUUGAUGUUGCAUAAUUUUUCACUUUAUCUUUUUUUUAAAGGCUGAUAUGAAGAUGGUCUUGG